GCCUGGAUGGCUUAGUUGGUUAAGCAUCUGACUUUGGCUCAGGUCAUGAUCUCCCAGCUGGUGAGUUUGUGCUCGUUGUCGGGCUCCAUGCU
This 92-nucleotide transfer RNA is filed under the name Felis catus (domestic cat). It matches the Rfam family "tRNA". From Rfam's summary of the family: Transfer RNA (tRNA) molecules are approximately 80 nucleotides in length. Lineage: Eukaryota; Metazoa; Chordata; Mammalia; Carnivora; Felidae. The record is from Rfam by way of RNAcentral.